GACGAACGCUGGCGGCGUGCCUAAUACAUGCAAGUCGAACGCUGAAGGAGGAGAUUGCUUCUCUGGAUGAGUUGCGAACGGGUGAGUAACGCGUAGGUAACCUGCCUGGUAGCGGGGGAUAACUAUUGGAAACGAUAGCUAAUACCGCAUAAUAUUGACUAUUGCAUGAUAGUCAGUUGAAAGGUUCAACUGCACCACUACCAGAUGGACCUGCGUUGUAUUAGCUAGUUGGUGGGGUAACGGCUCACCAAGGCGACGAUACAUAGCCGACCUGAGAGGGGGGUGGGCCAGACUGGGAAUGGGACACGGCACAGACUCCUACGGGAGGGAGCAGUAGGGGAUCUUGGGCAAUGGACGGAAGUCUGACCGCGCAAGGCCGCGGGAGGGAAGAAGGGUUUCGGAUCGUAAAGCUCUGUUGUAAGAGAAGAAAGAGUGUGAGAGUGGAAAGCUCACACUGUGACGGUAUCUUCCCAGAAAGGGACGGCUAACUACGUG
Molecule: ribosomal RNA, 495 nt
Filed under: uncultured bacterium
Lineage: Bacteria
Description: partial 16S ribosomal RNA
Rfam family: Bacterial small subunit ribosomal RNA
Source: RNAcentral